This 421-nucleotide ribosomal RNA is filed under the name uncultured bacterium. RNAcentral's name for it is "bacterial SSU rRNA". It matches the Rfam family "Bacterial small subunit ribosomal RNA", at positions 361 to 774 of the family's 1533-position model. The record is from RNAcentral.
AUUUUGGACAAUGGGGGCAACCCUGAUCCAGCAAUGCCGCGUGAGUGAAGAAGGCCUUCGGGUUGUAAAGCUCUUUUGUCAGGGAAGAAACGGUGAGGGCUAAUAUCCUUUGCUAAUGACGGUACCUGAAGAAUAAGCACCGGCUAACUACGUGCCAGCAGCCGCGGUAAUACGUAGGGUGCAAGCGUUAAUCGGAAUUACUGGGCGUAAAGCGUGCGCAGGCGGUUAUGCAAGACAGAUGUGAAAUCCCCGGGCUCAACCUGGGAAUGGCAUUUGUGACUGUAUGGCUAGAGUGUGUCAGAGGGGGGUAGAAUUCCACGUGUAGCAGUGAAAUGCGUAGAUAUGUGGAGGAAUACCGAUGGCGAAGGCAGCCCCCUGGGAUAACACUGACGCUCAUGCACGAAAGCGUGGGGAGCAAACA